CCUACGGGUUGCACCAGUGGGGAAUCUUGCGCAAUGGCCGAAAGGCUGACGCAGCGACGCCGCGUGCGGGAUGACGCUUUUCGGAGUGUAAACCGCUGUCAGGUGGGACGAAGGUCCCGGGGAGGAAAUGCCCUGGGGAUGACGGUACCACCAGAGGAAGCACCGGCUAACUUCGUGCCAGCAGCCGCGGUAAUACGAAGAGUGCGAGCGUUGUUCGGAAUUAUUGGGCGUAAAGCGCACGUAGGCGGCCUUGUAAGACUCACUGUGAAAGCCCGGGGCUCAACCCCGGGAGGCCAGGGGAUACUGCGAGGCUGGAGACAAGCAGAGGUUGGUAGAAUUCCGGGUGUAGUGGUGGAAUGCGUAGAGAUCCGGAGGAAUACCAGAGGCGAAGGCGGCCAACUGGGCUUGUUCUGACACUGAGAGACGAAAGCUAGGGGAGCGAAUGGGAUUAGAUACCCGUGUAGUC
Molecule: ribosomal RNA, 466 nt
Filed under: uncultured bacterium
Lineage: Bacteria
Description: bacterial SSU rRNA
Rfam family: Bacterial small subunit ribosomal RNA
Source: RNAcentral